This 21-nucleotide transfer RNA is filed under the name Papaver orientale. RNAcentral's name for it is "partial tRNA-Phe". The record is from RNAcentral. Lineage: Eukaryota; Viridiplantae; Streptophyta; Magnoliopsida; Ranunculales; Papaveraceae. RNAcentral also lists the same sequence under 2 other names.
GUUGGGAUAGCUCAGUUGGUA